UAUUAAAUUUGGAACAAAAUUCCUGCCACCCCUGUUGUCUUACUUGCUUAAUUACUAACUUUUUAACAGCUUGAACUCUUUUAAAAUUUAUGUAAUUAUCGAGAGUUGGAUUUUGUUUAAACCUAAGGUAAGCCGCUUUACUAUCAUUGACAGCUGUCGCACACCUGUUAUUCCACCAAGGUACUGCAAUAUGUUUGUGCCUCUUUGAAGUAUUUGCACCGCUAUUUGAUAAGUUCCUACGUGGAACGGAACGUUCCACAGCUGUCAAAAUAAUUUUACAGAACUUAUUGUAAUUGUUUAAGGGUUCAUUGACAUCAUACUCGAAAUCCAAAAGUAAUUGAUUAACAGUUUCAGAAUAAAGAUCCCAAUUAACGAGACAUGCUGCAACGCUCAGAAUUCUUACAGAAUUUAGCUAAAUGUCCAUACCUCAAGCACCGGUAGCAUUGUUUAACUGGUGGUAUAUAUGGAGUGACAUUGUAAUAACCUCCAAUAUCCAGAUAUUCAGGUAAUACAGAUGCAGCAAAAGUAAUUGUCACGGUUAGAGUUGGCUGUAACACAUAUCCAUGAGUCAAGAUUCUGAGUCAGUAGAAGUAUCUUCCGAAUAUAUAUCCUUGUCAUUACAAGGUUCAUGGUCUACAUCACCUGAAUCGUCAUCUUUUUUUUUUCCUUUUCCUACAACUGCGCUUCCCCAUGAAUGCUAAUUAUAUUACUGUCACUGAAUUUAGUGAAAAUAUAAUAUUUUAUUCAAUAAUAAGAAUUGAUAGAGAUAGUUUUUAUAAAUUAAUAAAAAAAUUUAAAAAACCCGCU
Long non-coding RNA from Galleria mellonella (greater wax moth), 807 nucleotides. RefSeq lists it as uncharacterized. The transcript is spliced from 3 exons. The record is from RefSeq and is a predicted model, not a curated record. NCBI's taxonomy places the organism in Eukaryota, Metazoa, Arthropoda, Insecta, Lepidoptera, Pyralidae.